Long non-coding RNA from Pteronotus mesoamericanus, 334 nucleotides. RefSeq lists it as uncharacterized. Lineage: Eukaryota; Metazoa; Chordata; Mammalia; Chiroptera; Mormoopidae. The transcript has 3 exons. The record is from RefSeq and is a predicted model, not a curated record.
CACCUGAUCCUCAAGCCCUGAACCCUGCUGUCUGCUGCUGACCUACUGACCUCACAGUUUGUGCUCCAGACCCAGUGAGUCUCCAGCCUCAGAAACCCUCCUGGUCCACACAAUCAAGUGUUUGAGGUCCCUGAGAAGCAGAAGGUGUUUGCUGUGUCCUGAAUGGCAAGAGAGCUGAGGUCUCUCUGGACGUGAUUCACACUGGGACUUCAUUGAUGGCUUUCUCCUUCGCAUGCAGCAAGAACAAGGGAAUCCCCACGCAGAAUUCAGCAAAAAGAAUUUGAUCAAUUCUGUUCUCAACAUCUUUUCUGCCAGGAUGGAGACAACCAGCACC